RNAcentral lists this ribosomal RNA (253 nucleotides) under uncultured bacterium. RNAcentral's name for it is "partial 16S ribosomal RNA". It matches the Rfam family "Bacterial small subunit ribosomal RNA", at positions 524 to 776 of the family's 1533-position model. The record is from RNAcentral.
UACAGAGGUCCCAAGCGUUGUUCGGAUUUACUGGGCGUAAAGGGUGCGUAGGUGGCAUGCAAAGUCUGAUGUGAAAUCUUGAAGCUUAACUUCGAAACUGCAUUGGAAACUGGCGUGCUAGAGUAGUGUAGGGGAGACUGGAAUGCUCGGUGUAGCAGUGAAAUGCGUAGAUAUCGAGCGGAACACCAGUGGCGAAGGCGAGUCUCUGGACACUUACUGACACUGAGGCACGAAAGCCAAGGGAGCAAACGGG